Molecule: non-coding RNA, 461 nt
Organism: Ictidomys tridecemlineatus (thirteen-lined ground squirrel)
Lineage: Eukaryota; Metazoa; Chordata; Mammalia; Rodentia; Sciuridae
Source: RefSeq, a predicted model, not a curated record
AAAAUUCCGUUGCAGUGAGUCCUAGGCAGGAGUUUGGGAUUAUUGGAGGUGACAGCUUGCCCCGGACGGGUGAAUCUCGGCCACCCUGUGCGGAGGUGCAGGCAGUCGCUGUCUGCUGACCAGCGCAGAAGGAAGCGUUUCAGCACUGCCAGAGACCUGUGUGGCGUAGGGACCCUUUGAAGAGGUUGCUAACCAAGCCUUCAUGAAACAGCGGACCAGAACUGAAACCGAGUCUGGGGCAGACCAGAGACAGGCCAGACCCACCCCUCCCAUCGGACACUCCGGCUCGCCAUAGCAGAGAGCUGAUGUCACCAGAGUUCAGCGAACGGGAUCCCUUCCCAGCGAAAUCGCUUCAACAGAUCAGAUGAGAAAUAUAUGAAGAAUAAACACUUCAGCAGAAUUAUAUUAAGUAUGCAUGACUAUUCCCGUUGUAGAAAAAGAAGCUGAACUUGACCAAAGGU